GAUGAACGCUGGCGGCGUGCUUAACACAUGCAAGUCGAACGGAGUGCCUUUGAAAGAGGAUUCGUCCAAUUGAUAAGGUUACUUAGUGGCGGACGGGUGAGUAACGCGUGAGGAACCUGCCUUGGAGUGGGGAAUAACACAGUGAAAAUUGUGCUAAUACCGCAUAAUGCAGUUGGGCUGCAUGGCUCUGACUGCCAAAGAUUUAUCGCUCUGAGAUGGCCUCGCGUAAGAUUAGGUAGUUGGUGAGGUAAAGGCUCACCAAGCCGACGAUCUUUAGCUGGUCUGAGAGGAUGAUCAGCCACACUGGGACUGAGACACGGCCCAG
This 325-nucleotide ribosomal RNA is filed under the name uncultured bacterium. RNAcentral describes it as "bacterial SSU rRNA". It matches the Rfam family "Bacterial small subunit ribosomal RNA", at positions 28 to 334 of the family's 1533-position model. The record is from RNAcentral.